This 34407-nucleotide long non-coding RNA is filed under the name Marmota monax (woodchuck). Lineage: Eukaryota; Metazoa; Chordata; Mammalia; Rodentia; Sciuridae. The record is from RNAcentral.
GUUCAGUAAGAUAAUAUAAUAAACCAAUCACAUUGAUUUGCCUAAUUCUAUACUUUAUAUUAUUUCAACCAUUUUUCCAUUUCAGGAGAUAGAGAAUGGAUCCCAGAAAGUAGCUUAAGUGUACAUGCUAAUAAUGCAGUUGCCUGUGGUCUUGUGCAGAGUUUCCAGUCUCUUUCAUCAAGUGUAUACAAGCAAAAAAAGGGUAAGGCUGGAUACAAGGUAGCGAUGCCAUCUUUGUGGGUCAUUUUAUUUUAUUUUUUUUAUUUUUAUUUUUUUUAAAGAGAGAGAGAGAGAGAGAGUUAGUUUUUUAAUAUUUAUUUUUCAGUUCUCGGCGGACACAACAUCUUUGUUUGUAUGUGGUGCUAAGGAUCGAACCCGGGCAGUGCGCAUGCCAGGCGAUUGCGCUACCACUUGAGCCACAUCCCCAGCCCUGUGGGUCAUUUUAUUUAGUAUUUUUUUUUCUCAGCAGUUUACUAGGCACCUGAAUAUUAGAUUUUGCAAUUAUAAUUAUUUUAACUAAAUGUCCUAGAAUUUUUCUUCCAAAAAAACCAAACCAGACCAAACCAAACCAAACUAAAACAUUGAGUAAGUAAGUAUACAUAUUAUUUCUCUCAAAAUCAUGAAUUCUAGUCUUAGCUGUUUUCUGCAACAAUGUGUUAGAUAACACUAUUUGCAACUUGCAGCUUAAGAUAGUCUAUCCUGAGUGAUCCUUAUAAAAUACACACUGAAUUUCAUAAUGCACUCAGGAAGCAGUAUAUUCAUACCAGAUUUCUUGUACUCUUGAUUGGAUUUAGCCAUAUGUAAAACAAAUGUCCUAGAUUAAGAUUAUUCCUUAGAACUGGUUUUGCAAGUUGUUUGGUUCUAAUAAUUGCUGUAUGUGUUAUCCAUGGGAUUUUGAUUUCAAAAUGAUUUCAUGGUUUUUACAUAAGAUAAUUUUGACAUAUCGAAUGAUCAUUGUAAUAUUUUCCUAAUGUGUGCAUCACUAGCAUUAUUAUGUCAUUUCUGUUAUUCAUUUACACAUGCUUAAAGUAUGUUUGCUUUACUCUGUACUUGGCAUAAAGUUGCAGUAGAUAACUCAUGAAUUAAGGCAAUUCAAUGCACUGGUGUUGAGUAUGUGAACACUAUGCUAGGUCCUGGGAAUUAAGGGAUACCUAAGUCCUCCUGAUAGACCUUAGGGAGCUUACAAUUGAGGAGGAAUCCUUGACACAGUGAGCUAAUUGCCUUGGUUUAAAGACUCUCUUAAAACCUGAUAUUUAAUUACAUAUGAUUUGUUCACGUAUGUAAGAUUUAUAUGGCUCUCUUGCCCGAAACCCUAUGAUUAAAUCUCUUGGCUAGCUGAGAUUCCUUCAAUAUGCAUUUAUGUUGAGAAUCUGUCAGUUAUAAAUGUUUUUUAGAAGAAAAACCAUCCAGUUAUGAUAAAAAAAAUUUUGGCUCUAUAAUUAGGUACCUAUUCUCACAUCAAAUUCCAGAGAAGCUUCAAAAAUUCUGGUAACUUCUAUCUGAGGCAAUCAGAAGGAACUGUUUUAAGUCACUAUAUUGAUAAAAAUAAAUUCAUAAUGCAUGCUAUGAAAAAUUUGUUACUAAGACAAAUUUUUAAUAAAUAGCCAAAUACUUUUAAGUAUUUAUAAGUAUUUAAGUAUCAAUUUGGGCAGAUCAGUGUGUGUCAAUAAUUUGCUAUGAAAAUCCUGGUGAUACCCUUGUCUCUAUGGCCUGAGAUUCUCCAACCUCAAAGUGAGCAUAAUCAACUGGGAAACAGAUGUAAUGCUGAUUUCUGUAUCUCACUCUUAGUGAUUCUGAUUCAUUUAGGCUGAGGUAAGGCCCUCAAAUUUGAAUUUAUCAACAAUUAAUUGUAAUGCUGAUAUAGAUACUUCAAAAUUUAUAUUUUGAGAAACAGUUGUAUAAAUAUGUAAAUGCAUAAGUGAUAAAUUUAUAAAAAGUAUGAAUAAUGUAAUUUUUUGAAAUUGAUAGGUAAUUAAUGAUAGCACAUACUGUCAGUAAUAAUAUAUAUUUGCAUUUUAUUUAGGAAUAGAGAUGAUGAAUAAUGACUGUCACUGAAAAUAUAGAUAUGCAAGAUGUUAGAGAGUAUGUGACAUUUUAGUUAAGUCUUUAAAAAGUAAUAACAUUUAUCAGUGAGGGGAGUUGCAAAAUGCCUUUCUGGACAGAGGUAGUAGCCUGAAAUAAAAUAAAAUGUUCCGGAAAUAUUGCAAGUUAUAGAAAUCUUAUAUUCUGAACUGAUGCCAGCAUAGAAAGGGAUUCCAAUUUUUCUAAGAUUUUAAAAUUUGUGACUAUAUAUACAUUGUAAUACUUAUGUGAUUAGCAACAAGUACAUUGAUACUCUGCACCCCCUGCUAAAAGUUACUCCUCUUCCACCCCAUCUUCCUGUCUCUGUAUAUAGCAAGGGCACCCAAACCUUGAUCAGGCCUGAAACCUAGGAGUCACCUUGAGUGGCUGCAGCUUAUUCAUAGGCAAAUCCUGCUGAUUUCAGCUCCAAAAGCCAGCACAAACCUAAACACUUCCAUCUUCACUGCUCAAGAUAAGCCCAAGCCAGUUGCCUGUCAUCUCUCACUUGUCUCCCAAUUUCAUUUUUACCCCUUCCCAAACCAUCUUACUAUGAUUUCUUCUCAUCAAAUUCUACUGUUUGUAGUCAGUGAGUAAAUUGUUUAUCCUUACAGUCAUAAAAUUAUUUAUAUUUAUAGUUUGUAGGAAGUGAAACAUACUUUCAAUAAAUUUAAAACUUAAAUAGCAUCACAUGAUUUUCCUGCCUAAAAGUAUUCCAAAACUUCCCAAGAAAGGUAGAAAAAAAUUAUAUUCAUUCUACGCAUCACACAGCAAUAUAUGAGUUGGUUACCCUUCUCUCCUAACUGCAUAUUUUCUACCCUGUAGCCAAGCGGAUCCUCUCUGUUCUUAGGUAGGUCAUGCCUUUCUUAGUAUAUUCUAAAAUAUGCUUGUCCAGGAUGCUCUGCUGCAACCUUUCACUCCAUCCUUGGACCUUUCUUCAUAUGACUGGUUCUUUCACCAGUCUUAGUCCCGAUUUUACCUCCUUAGAUAGGGCUUUCAGUACGCUAUUUAACUCUAGUCUCUUGAGUCCUUCUAUUCUUUCUCAUAGAACAUAUCACAGACAUUAUCUUAUUUGUAGGGUUUUCUGCUAUCCCCACCUUGCUUAGAAAAAAAGCAAGGACUAGCUAGUCUUCUUGUUAGUGUGCCUUCAAUGUAGAAUGGGGGCUAGAACCUUGUAAGUCUUCAGUGUGUAUUUCUGAAAGAGGGAAAUAGGAUAGAAAGCAUGAGUAUUCAUUUGGAAUGAAAUUUGAGGGUAGGGGUAAUGUCUCAUUCACUUUGAAUACCCUGAAUUAAUUAACUCAAAGAAUUAAUUAACGAUUUUAUAAUUGACUCAGGCUGAGCAUUAAUUCACAAGUUCUCAGAGUUUAAGGAGAUUUAAGACAUUAUACUGUUUUAUUCCUUAAUUUUAUAGGUGUGAUAUGGAUUACUAUCUGUGUCUAGGUCAUAAGCUGAUUUCUAAUUCAGUGAGAUGUGACAAUGAUGUUCUUAGCUCCUUAGCUUAGCAUUUUUUUUCAACUAAGCCAAUACUACUCAAUAAAAUUUCCUUAUAUUUUCUAGAACUCUUAGAAAUUGAAUUUCUGUUUGUUUGUUUGUUUGUUUGUUUUUUAAUGUAUGAACGCUCAGCAGUUUACAUAAUGGAACAAGAAUGUCAAUGGACAAUGUUUUGCCAACUUUAUUCAGGCUUAAAAUAAUGUGUCCUUUGACAUAUUUAGUAACAUAUUUUGGUAGCAUAUUUAGUAACAUAUAAUUAUUUGUUACUAAAAUGCUACCCCAAAAGCCUGUUGAUAUGUGUUUUAUCAAGUUCUAAUGUUAUAUUUAGAAUUGCAAUAAUAAAGUGCCGUAUUAAAUACUAUUCAAGGAGUGAUUCCUAUUUUAUAUCUAUCUGUAUUUUUAUGCCCAUUAACUAAUACCACUGUAUUUCAUCUCAUCAAUAUUCAGCAUAGUUUAAUUGGUAAUCAUGGGACAUAUAUUCUUUAGCUAACACCGAGAAAAAUUAAUUUUGUUUUAUUUGUGGUUAGCUGAGAUUGGCAUGAAUCAUUUUUUAGAUUAUAUUGCCCAUGAUGGCACAAGUUUCUCUAAAAGUAAUUUCUUAUGUUUGUAAUCUACAAAGUAGGCUAUUUUUUAUUAUGGAAUGAUUGCCUCAACAGUGGCAUUUUUCAUUAAUGCCAGUCAAUGUGUCAAUCCUUAACCAUAGCAAUAAUAUUAAUAAGCUUGCAAAUUAAAUACUAGAAAGAAUGACAUGUUUUCCUAAAUGAACAAUAAGUAAACAAAAUCAACAACCAAAUUGGGACUCCUUCUAUCUCAUCCUGUGAUUUGGUUACUUUAAAUUACCCUUGAACAUAUUUCCAGUAAGAAAUAUGGUCUGUCUAUUUGCUGUGUGUUAAGCAUAAGUCUGACCCAUCCCCUGUGUACCUUUUCUCUCUUUUGGGAACAAUUAGCUUCAAAUACUGUGGCAACCAGAUGUUGUUGUAAGAAUUCAGCAAGUGUUGUGCUCUCCUGAGUUUUCUGAAGGGCAUCUACAUUAUUUUAAAUUAUUCUAACUUCAUAUUUUUCUGAGAUGGAAGAAGUCCAGUUCUUACUAAUAGUAUCAUCUUUUUGUUUGUUUUAUUUUAAUAAGAGUACUAAAUUUCUUCAAGUUUUACCUUGACUGAGAAAUAUUAUAAUACAGGAGAAGAGUGUGGUUUACCCAUACUCCCAGGUCCUCUGAGUUCUGUAUAAAUUUCCUCUGGUACCCACUGGCUUCCAUAUAAGAGCGACAAGCUUGCAUGAUGGCUGUGAACGAAAUAUCCAUUCUUUGCAAUAUAGCACAUAAAAGAGGAAACCACUUCUAAAUUCAAGUCAUUAAAAUAAUUCUUUAGAAUAUUUAUAUACAUACAUAUAUUUUAAACAUAUUUUUUAUUAGUUAUUUUUCUUCAGAAUUGUUUCUGAGCACAAACACACACAAAAGGGCCAGAAGCUUAUUUUAAUUUAUUCCUAAUUUUAUUCCCACAAAAAAUAUUUUAAAAAUUAAUUUCUUCAAUGUUCAUUAAAAUUGGUGCCCUUUGGAACUUAACCUCACUCAGCUUUAAUUGCUUAAACAAUUACAUACUGCAACCAAAUGCUUCUUAAGGUUAGCUACAUUCAAAGUAAGUUUUUCCAGCUAAGGAAAAAGAAGAUGAACUCAAUAGUCAUUAAAUGUUUUAUAUAGGAUGACUGAAUGUAGCCACUUUUUUGAAUUUUGCAUUUUUCUUUGAAUCAACAAGAGUGGGCGUAAUGUUACAUAGCAUAUGUUCAGUCAAAUCAUGUUUUUCAUGAGAAUGACAAUUGCACUUCUUUAAAAAAUCUAAUAUUUUACACAAAGCCAGUUUGUGUUAAGAGAAUGCAAAAUGAUUACCAUAAAUAUGUUAAUAAAUAAAUGUAUUUAUGUUUACUAUGAAUAUAUUUCUAAAUCAGAAAAAUAAUUUAGUACAUUUAAAAAUUUACCGAUGCUGUGAAUUUUUUAAAUCUGUUCUUGAAAAUUCCCUUGGCCUUUAUUAAAGAGUAUUUUGUGAGAAAUACAAAAUUACAAAUUAGUUAUGUUGCAUAGGAUUUGAAAGGAUUCUUUUCCCUACUAUUAAAAACAAAAGCAAAAUGACAUCAACAAAAAAUGCUUAGUGUUGAAGUAACCAACUAAACCAAACUUUUGAACAGAUAAAAGAGUGGUCAUCUUAGUUGAAUAAAGUAGUAACCUGACUUAGGUCUGUGCUUCUGGAAUUUGUAAACUAAAGUACCCUAUAAGGCAAUGGAAAGUGAACUGUCAGAAUACAGAGAAAAAAGCACAUCGGAGAUACAGGUCAGACUUAGUACACAGCAAACAGAUCAGACUUCUUAUAGGAAAAUUAUAGAUGUGAUCUCACUUAGUUUAAAAACUGUGUUUUUCUAAAAUUUCACACAGAUUUUGUAUAUUAGACUGUUUAAUCUCCAUAUUUUUAAAUAAAAGAAUAGAUUACACACUGUCAAUACAAUUGAUUCACUAGGAAGUGGCCUCAUGUUCAUCGUAGAGGUUGUUUUCUCUUGUGAGAUACAUACUUGAAUUUGGGAUGGACUAAAAGAUUGUGUGUUGUGCUGGUCUGAAGUUGACUUGUUUUAUAGAUAUUUUGCUUUAGUGAUAGUGAAAUCAAUUUGCUUCUAAAUAUUAAAAAAUAGGGAAAAUACUCAGAAGGUUUUUUUUUUUUUUUUUUGGUCUUUGUGACAGGGGAUGAAAAUCAACAGUCAGUUUUCGCAUAAUAUUUGAAAUCCAUUUUUUGUUUGUUCAUUUUGUUUUGGUCUUGGGUUUGAGCCCAGGGUCUUGCCUCAUGCCAGGUAUGUGUUCUACCAUUGAGCUAUAUCCUGAGCCUGAUUUUCUCAUAAAAUUUGUUGCAUUAUAUUCACUGCUCUGUCUUCAGGAAGCUGGUAUUUUAUAUUGCAAAAUACUCAAAAUUUUAAAAACAGUUGAUUGGAUUCUUUUUCUUUUUGUUUUAGGCCAGAAGUCACAGAGACCUUCAACAGCAAAUUUACCACUUUCCAACUCUGUUAAAAACAGCUCCAACUGCCUUUCAUCCUCUCAGCCUCGACCAAGAAGUGCAGCUGUUCCAUCAUUAUCUAGAGCUGCUUCGGAAAUUUUAGAAAUUGAAUAUAUUGAUAUUACUGGCCAGAAUGAACCUUUCUUAGAUAACACAGCUGAUCAACAAACUUUAGAGAGUUUGGAAAAAGAAUUAGAUGUGCUGAGAAAUCAUGCAGGUAAUGCUUUUUUUUUUUUUCUUCACUCUAGAUAAUGUUAACUUUGUCCUCUGUUACAUUCUUCACCUUAUUCUUAAAAAGAAGCAAGCAAAACAGGUCUUUCCUUUCUUUCUUCAGCUAUCAACUUUGGAUACAUCUUGCUAACACCCUGAAAAAGUUCUAAAAUGCAUUGCUGCCCAGUCACAACAGAGAUGGUCCCCUAGCAAACCAAGUGCACAGCCAAAUUGUGGCAUAAGGAUCUCUGUGUAUUCAGAAAAAUCAAAACCAAUACUAGACAUAUUUCUCUUUCUACAAACCCAGUGAAGGUUUAAUCACUCUAGCUUUAAGUAAAACUGUUGUCCAAUACCCUUGUUGAAAAUUGAGCCUGUUAGAACUUUUAAAGCAGUGCUUCUGUAGCUUUAAAGUAUUCAUAGAUGCCCCAGGGGAUCUUGUUAAAAUGCAGAUUCUGAUUGAGUCCUCAUUUCUGGGAUGGGACCUGAGAUUUUUCACAUCUAACAAGUACCCAGAUGAUGCCAAUUUUGCUCUUUAGCAAACCACAAUUUGAGGAGAAAUUUUACUUGUGCUCUCUGUUUGCAACCUCAAUGGGGAUAGUCUUGCCAAUGGUGACCACAUUCUUGAAUGUGCAAAGGUCUGGUUGAAUAACAAAAUAUCAAAAUAUCCUCUUAUUUUCAUCAGAAGGUCAUUCACACAAUUUGAAGGAAGUCAACCGCAGGUCCAAAAGGUAGGCUAAAAUAUUCUGUGGUCCUGUGUGUUCUACAUUUGCUCUUCUCUUUGUUUCUGUUUUUGUUUUAUCCUAUUUAAUGAUCUCUUUCCUUACUUACCUUUGAAAAACAACCUUGCUGUUUUUCUGAAAAAGAUAUAUCAGCAUUUGAAAACUGUAAGCAAUAAAAAAUACAAAAAGAAAGCUAAAACACCCAAAAAACUCACUACUCUUUAUUAUAAUUAAUACAUACUAGUUGUGCAAAUUGAUAGGAUUUACUGUCAUAAUAUUUCCUUACAUGCAUAUAUCACCCAUCGAUUGUACCCAUUGAUUGAACCCCAUCGAGGUUCCUCUAUCCUCCCUAUACUCCUAUUUUACCAUCUUUCCCAACUUCCUUAGCCCUCUUCCCAGUACCUUGUAGUACCUCUUCUGCUUUUAGGACUUUUUGUUUAUUUGUUUCUGUGUAUGAAAGAAAACAUGCAAUAAUUGUCUUUCAGUGUCUGGCUUCUUUUGCUUAACAUGCUAUUUUUCCUCUUCCACUUAAAUGUCCAGAUAUCAUUCUUCAUAUGAUGGAGUAAUUCCUAGGUGCUGUUGUGAAUGGUGCUAUAAUAAACAUGGUUGUUCGGGAAUUUUUGUUUGUGCUGAUUUCAUUUUUCUUUGGAUAUCUAUCCAGAAAUGGAAUAGCUGGAUCAUAUAUGGUAGCUCUGUUUUUAGUUUUUUGAGAAACCUUCAUAUGUUUUUAGCAAUGGCUGUAAUGAAUUACAAUCCCAACAGUGUGUAUAAGCAUUCUUUUUCCUCACAUCCUGGCCAGUAUUUGUUAUUUGUUACUUUUUUAUAUAAUAAUCAUUUUAACUGGGGUAAGAUAGAAUCUCAUUGUAGUUCCAUUUGCAUUUCCCUGAUGGCUAAAGAUAUUGAGUCAUCCUUUCAUGUAUUUGUCAUUGGUAUCUCUUCUUUUGAGAUGUGUCUAUAUCAUUUGAGAUUGUCUUGUUUUUUUGAUUUUGAUAUUAAGUAUUUUCAGUUCUUAAUAUAUUAUAGAUAUUAAUCUUCUGCCAGACAAAGAGCUGGCAAAUAUUUACUCAUAUUCUGUAGGUUGUCUCUUCAAUCUGUGGAUUAUUUCCUUUGCUAUACAGUAGUUUUAAAAUUUGAUGUAAUACCAUUUGUCAUCCUUUGCCUUUGUUUACUGUGCUUUUGGAGUUCUAGCCAGGAAACAAUAGCCUGAACCAGUAUCUAGAAAUUUAUUCCCUAGUAUGUUCCUCUAGAAGUUUCAGAACUCAGAUCUUACAGAACUACCUUUGAUCCAUUUUGACUGAUCUUUGUACAGGGUGAGAGAUUGACCCCAUAGGUCAAUUUUCAAUCUUCUAUAUGUGGGUAUCAGUUUUCCCCAUACCAUUGGUUGGAGAUCUUUUUUCUAUUAUAUGUUUUUAGUAGCUUUGUCAAGAUUAAGUUAGUUGGUUGUUGAUAUGUGAGUUUAUUUCUGAGUUCUCUACUGAGUUCCAUUGGUCCAUGUAUCUGCUUUUUGUGCCAGUAUCAUGUUGUUUUUGUUACUGUGGAUUGUGAAAUCAGGUGUUGUGAUACUUCCAGCAUUGCAAUUUUUGCUAAAGAUUACUUUGGCUAUUCAUUUAUUUCUACUUCUGUAUGAACUUAUGAUUGUGUUUUUCUAGUUCUGCAAAAAAUGCCUUUGGAAUUUUGAUAGGGAUUGCAUUGAAUCUGUAGAGCACUUUGGGUAGUGUGGAUGUUUUAACAGUAUUAAUUCUCUCAACCCAUGAACAUGGGAGGUUUUCAGUCUUUUAAUAUCUUCUUCAAUUUCUUCAGUAUUUUAAAAAUUUUCAUUGUAGAGGUCUUUCACAUCCUCAGGUUUAUUCUGAAGUGUGUGUGUGUGUAUGUGUGUGUAUUUUGCAGAGAUUGAACCCCCAGGAGUACUCUAGUAUUGAGCUACACCAUUAGCACUUUUUAUUUUUUAUUUUGAGACCAGGUCUUACUACGUUGCUGAGACUAGCCUCCAGUUAGAUAAUGUUAAUAAUAGAUAAUGUUAGCCUUAUGAAUCACUAGGAUUAUAGGUGUGCCCCACUAUGCCUGGCUUAUUUAUUUAUUUGUGGUUAUUUUGAAUAUGAUUGCUUUCCUGAUUUCUUUCUCAGUGAGUUCAUUAUUGGUAUAUAGGCAAGAUAUUGGUUGUGUAUGUUGCUAUUGUAUCCUGAUAGUUUACCAAUUUGUUUCUCAUUUCUGAGAGUAUUGGUGUAGAGUAUUUAGGUUUUCCUAAAACCUAAUAUAAAGUCACAUUAUCUCAAACAGGGAUAAUUUAACUUCCUCUGUAUGUAUGCCUUCUUUUCUUUCUUUUAAGUGAUUAUUUUGGCUAAAAUUUCUAGUACUCUAUUGAAUAAGAGUGCUGAAAAUGGACACCAUUAUCUCAUUCCUGGUUUUAGUGGAAAUGGUUUCAGUUUUUUCCUGUUGAGUAUGAUCAUGCAUAGCAUUUAUUAUGCAGAGGUAUUUUCCUUCUAUAGCUAAUUCAUUCAGGACUUUUAUCAUGAAGAAAUGUUGAAUUUUAUCAAAUGCUUUUUCUGUAUCUAUUGGGAAAAUGAGGUGAUAUAUAUCAUUAAUUCAAUUCAUGUGCUGCAUUAAGUUUAUUGAUUUGCAUUAAACCAUCCUUGUAGCCCUGGAAUAGAAAACAAUUGAUCAUAGUGUAUGGUCUUUUUAAUGUGCUAUGAAUUCAACUUACAAAUAUUUUGUUGAUGAUUUUUGUAUUUAUGUUUAUUAGAAAUAUCAUUUUACAAUUAAUUUCUUUUAAAAAAAAAAUUCCUUUCCCUUCCUUUCUUCCUUUCUUUUGUUGGCCUUGUCAGGUUUGAGUCAUACUUUUAUAACAUUGAAUUUGGUUUCUUACCUUCCUAUUUAAUGUAGUAGUUUGAGGGGCAUUGAUAUUUGUUCUUUAUUUAAAAGUUUGGUAAUAUUCAGCAAAGAAGAAAUUCAAUCUUGUUUGGGGGACUUUUUAUUACUGAUUCUAUCUCAUUACUUGUUAGUGGUCUAUUUAUUUAGCCUUUUAAAAUAUUCUUUUCACUCAAUUUUAGUGGGUUAUGUAUGUCCAGAAAUUUGUCUAUAUUUUUUAUUUUACAAUUUAUUACUAUAUAGUUUUUCAAAAUAUUCCUUGUUGAUCCUUUGAAUUUCAGUGAUAUCCAUAGUAAUGUCUCAUUUUUUCACCUCUAAUUUUAUUUAUUUGGCUAUUUUUUUCUUUCUUUUUGUUUGUUUAGCUAAAAGUUUAUAAAUUUUAUCUUUUCAAAGAUUUAACUCAGUUUCAUUUUUAUUGUUCUCUUAGUCUCCAUUUCAUUUAUUUGUGCUCUGAUUUUUAUAAUUUUUUUCUUCUACUGAUAUGGGGGUUUUGUUUUCCUUAUUUUUCAAAAAACUUUGAGAGUCAUCAUUUGGUUAUGUACUCAAAAUAUUUUUUUUUAUGUAAACACUCAUUGUCAUAAACUUUCCACUUGGUGCAGCUGCUUAUAUGGUGCAGCUGCUUAUAUUGUAUCCCACAGAUAUUUGUAUGUUGUGUUUCCAUUGUCAGUUCAUUCAAAGAAUUUUUAAAUUUCCCUUCUGACUUCCUCAGUGACCCAUUGUUCAAAAGUGUGUUGUACAAUUUUAAUAUGUUUUUGUAUAAUUUCUACAGUUACUGUUGCUCUUGAUUUCUACUUUAAUUUCAUUGUGAUCAGAGAAAACACAGGAUAUUUUUCAAUAUUUUUGGAGGUUGUUAAAACUUGCUUUGUCCCUUAAUAUAUGGCCUAUUCUAGAAAAAUUUCUGUGUUCCUAUGAAAAGAAUAUGUAUUCUCUAGCCAUUGAGUGAUAUAUUCUGUAAAUGUCUGUUAAGUCCAUUUUAUUUAUAGUAUAAUUAAUUCUUGUUACUUUGUUGAUUUUUGUUUGGAUGAUCUAUCCAUUGCUCAUAGAAAGUUAUUGAAUUCACCCGUUAUUAUUGUAUUGAGACCUAUUUUUUCUUUUAAUGUCUUGAUAGCAUUUAUAAUUUACAAAAUGUGGUGCUCCAAACUUUGGCAUAAAUAAAUUUAUAAUUAUUAUAUCUUCUUGAUUAAUUAAUCCCUUGAUCAAUUGCAUUUAUGUUUACCAGAAAUAUCAUUUUAAAAUUCAUUUUUAUUAUUCAUUUUUAUUAAUUUAUUAAUUAUUUUUUAUUAAUUUAUUUUAGUUAUAUAUGGUUUAUAUAGUUAUAUAUAUUAUAUAUUAUAUAUGUAUAUAUAUAUGUAUAUAUAUAUAUAUAUAUAUACAUACAUACAUAUAUAUUAUAUAUAGUCAUUUGGACAUAAUAAGAAAAACAUGAUAUAUAGUUUGCUCUAGUUUAGUCCCUAGUACUUCCCUUUUCCCAAUCCUCAUCCUCCUAUAUAUUCCCUUUAGUGGGAUUGAUUUUUUAACAUGUUCUUAUCUUGGUGAAUAUCUCUCUUGUCUCUUUAGGUUUAGGAUUUCCUUAAGCAUCUUUUGCAAUUCUUGUCUAGUGGUCUUGAAUUCUACUUGUUUAUGUUUAUCACAGAAAGUCUUUAUUUCAUCUUCAAUUCUGAAGGAUAGCCUUGCUGGGUAUAAUAGUCAUUUUGGUUUGCAGUUAUUUUCUUUCAGGACAUGAAAUACAUUAUUCCUUGUUUUACUAGCCUUUAAGGUUCCUACUAAGAAAACUUCUGUUAAUUUAAUGGGCUUAUUUUUACAUAUGACUUGAUGUUUCUAUCUUUUAGCUUUUCUUUGUCCUGUACAAUUGGCAAUUUAAUUAUGAUAUGUUUUGGAGAGGUUCUUUUUCUAGUCAUUUCUAUUUAGGAUUCCAACUUAUAUGUUCUUUUCUUUCCCAAAUUGUGGGAAAUUUUCUCUUUAUUGGAUUAACUUUCUAUGCCUCUGUUAUUCUUCUUCUACAGAUAUGCCCAUGAGCUAGAAUUUUGAUCUUUUAAUGAUGUCCUGAGAUCUCACAGGCUCUUUUCAUUCUUUGUUAUUUUUUAUUUAUUACUGUCUAAUUAAAAUAUUUUAAAAGACUUUUCUUCAAACUUCCCUUGAUCUAUUAUGUUUUUGAGGAUUUCAAUUGAGAUUUCUAUCUGACUUAUUGAAAUUUUCAUUCCAAGAUUUCUUUUUAGUUCUUUACAAAAUCUCCUUCUCUUCACUGAAGUUCCCAUUCAUUCCCCACAUUCUCUUUCUUGUAUCAUCCAAUUCUGUAUUUGCAUUCUCUUGGAUUUUACCAAGUGUUUUAAAAUCAUCUUUUGAAUUUGUUAUCUGACACUUUAUCCACUUAUUGAUAUCUUUGGAAUCUUUUCCAGAGAAUUAUGAGUUUCAUAUUACCUUGCUUUUUAUACUUCAUGUGUUUCUAUGUUGAGUUUUGUUCAACUGUUUGGAUAUAUUUCUCUUUAAUUUUUAUGCAAUAGCUUCUUGGUAUGCAGAUUUCUAUUGAUGAUAUGUCUUAGGGUUUGACUCAUUGAAUUUAUUUUCAACUAAACACCUUAGUUAAUCUCCCUGUAACUUCUUCAAUUGCAACUCAUGGGUUUUGACAAAGUAUUUUUCUUGUCAGAGUUGGAGAGACAUACUUUCUUUACAUGUCUUGCAAGAGUAAGGAAACUGGUAAUUCAGGGAAGUAUUAUGUAUGCAAAAGUAAUUAUGGGUUGCAUUCUCAAUAGUCGCUCCAAAAAUGGGAGAGGUAGCCACUAUCAUAUGUUGGAGGUUUCCCCAGGCAACUAUUGAUACAGAUUUUGUUACUUGAAAGUUAAUUUUUAAAAAUCAUUGUAUUUUUUUGUUUUGCAGUACUAAUGAUUAAACACAGAGCAUUACACAUGCUAAAGCAAGUGCUCUAUCUCUGAAUCUUAUCCUCAACCCACUUGAAGGCAAUUCUGAUAAUAGAUGCCCUACUUGUAGUGAUGGGCAUGAAGCUCUUGUUUUCUAAUUAUGCACUGGUAUAGCUCUAAGUGCUUCUCAAGAAGUAGGGCCAAAAUCACAACCCCUGUUAUGUGAUACUCUCCUUCAAUCUAAUCAGCAGCAUGUAGUUUGGAAAGUAAGACUGCAAUAGCUGUAGAGGACCCAGGUGCCUCUAUUCUGCCAUUUUGUGCUUCUCUCCAUCUUACUACUGUUAAAGCAACCAAUAUUAACUUUUAAAUAUGUGUACAUUAUAACUACAAAAAGAUUAAAUGUUUAGAAGGAUGAAUAUAGAUUGAAGGAAAAAAGAUAAUUUUAUAAAAACAGACGCUUCUCUACAUGAUGUUUUAAAUCCAUGAAAUGUGUCAUUGAAUAGAAAAAAAAAUGGAAAGGGAAUUGAACAUUUUGAUAUGGGUGGAGUGCCCAGUUGGAGUCCAGGUUCUAGGCAUCCCAAACAAAGAAUUGAACAAGACACAAAAAAGUAACAGACAGAGCAUUGAUUUAUUGAACGUGAAAGUAAUAGUAAAAUAGAGCAGAGGGGACCCAGUGAGAGAGAAUAUCAGGGCCCAUGUUUGGGCAGGCUUGUUUUAUAGUCUGAGCUGUGCCUCUGUCUCCUCCUUGCAGAACUGAUUGAAGACAUUUCCCUAUUUGUUUCCAAUGGUUAUUUUCAUCUAAUUGGAAUAUAGAACUUUUGGAAGGAGUUGGCAUGUCAAUGGAACUAUACAGACCUUUGGCAGGAGGUGGCAUGGUGAUAAGCUCUCUAUUGUGGGAGUUGACAUGGUAAUGAAACUUACCAUAAACAGAAUCAUGAUGACUCAUCUCCCUGUCUUGUUCUCUGGCUGGCAUUUUUCUUGCACCUAGUCUUUGCCAUCUUGAUGUCCUUAAACUCCUACCUCAACUUCAGACAAGUAUUUUUUCAUCACAAGAAAAUUAUUUGAGCUGUACAAAAAUUACCCUUUUGUAGACAAAAAAGAUUGGGAUAUUGACAGUUUUCUAUAGUUCAGUUUAAUUUUUGCCAAUAUUUCUUUAACAUUAAGGAAAAUAUGUGAAAAGAAGCAGUGAGCACCCAAGGCCACUUCCUAACUAUGUUUUAGUUUUGAUAGUAACUAUUAAGUCUCUAAAAUAAAAGAUGAAGAAUCAUUAGUUUGUUCCUUUAUUUAAAACCACAUUCUAAUCUAGAUGGUAUUGAAUGUACCUCUGUGAUAGUUUAUUAUGUUAUCAAGGUUUCUUUUCACUUUUUUUUUUUUUUUUAGGGAAACUUCAUAUGGAUUAAAUGCUUAGUACCAGCAGUUUUUUCUCCAUGACAUCCCUAUCUUGAGCCUUUUAUUUUGAUUCAUCUUGGGAAGGCUUGAUUUGGCAUCCUUGAUAAGGUCUGUCUUUUAUCUUUAUGGCUGAUUGGCAUGUUAGCUAGAUUUAUUUAGUGACUCAUAAUUUCUUUUCCUUUGAACUUGAUAGACAGUCCCUAUCUUCUGACCCUGGGUGUGGUGCUAAUUAGGUUUUUUUUUUUUUUUUUUGGUACUGGGGAUUGAGCUCAGGGGCACUUAACCACUGAGCCACAUCCCCAGCUGAAUUUUUAUUUAGAGACAGGGUCUCACUGAGUUGUUUAGUGCCUUACAGUUGCUGAGGCUGGCUUUGAACUCACAAUCCUCCUGCCUCAACUGCCUGAGAAUCUAGGACUAUAGAUGUGUACCACCCCACCCAGCCCUAAUUAGUUCUCAAUCAAGGUAUUUCCCCUUUAAAGUUUGUUUGGGCAAAUAUAACUAUCAGUUUUUUCUCUGUAGGUAGGGUUGCUGGUAGCUCUAUUACCUAAAAUUUUCCUGUUUGAAAAUGCCUGCUACCUUUAUAUUUGAAUUGCGAACCAGAUAAGGGUAGUGGCCUUGGGCCAUUUUAAACCUUGUGCAUACUCAUUUACCAUUUUCUGACUCUGAAUUCUUCUGUGAAGUAAUCUACAGACAACUUACUUUUUUCCCCCCCUUUUUAACCUACCCUCUGUCCUGAAUGUGACAGAUGUCUUUCCUGCCUCAGUGUUCACAGAAUUUUCUUCAGUAACUGGAGUAGGACUGAUUCAAUGUCAAUAAUUCAGCAUUUCUUAAAAUGGCAGCCUUCUCUUUCUAUCUUCAGAAUAAUUUUUUUUCAGAUAAAUUUUCUGCUUUUGUAUCUUUGAAUUGCUUUUCUGUCCCAUUUGGCUUUUUCCUGCUGAGAAACCUGUUUUGUUUUUUUAAUAUUGGAUCCUCUUUAAACAAUAUAUUAUAUUGUUAUAUAUAUUGUAUAGUUGUUUCAGCUAGUUUGUAUUUUCCUUUUUUAUUUACUGUGAUUUAUCUUAAGCUUGUGUUCUAUGUUAUGGCUUUACUUUUCACCUGACUGUAGUUCAUUCUUUACCAUUUGAUUUUUUUAAAAAAUUAUUCUCUAAAAGUGUUGCUUUAACUUUUUCUUUUGACAUUUUUGGUAACUUUUAAUUUUGAUAUAAUUUCAAGCUUAUAGGAAAUUUGCAAAAAUACAAGAAUAACACAAGAAAUUCUUAUAUAUGUAUAUUACUUUACCCUCUUCAAAACACACACACACACACACACACACACACGCACACACACUUAUUCUUCGGAACCAUUUGAGAGGAACUAAACAGUGUGACUCUAUCAGAAAAGAUUUCAGUGUGUAUUUACCCUAAACAAGAAAACCACUUACUAUAUAGUACAAUGAUCAAAAUAAGGAAAGUUAACAAAACAUGAUUUUUUAUUAGUGGUAUGUGUAGUUUUUUAAAUGAUGAUGUUUAUUACAGCUUAAUUUUUUUUCUGGCACAGGAUUUAAUCCAGGAAUAAAAGCCAUUUAAUUAUUUCCUUUUUGAUGCUUGGUGUAUACCAUUCAUUGCUUGAUAUUUGGGAUUAGUUUUGUUCUUUUUCAAAGGUUGAUGGUUGAUUUUCAGUCCUUGUUUUGUAGCAAAAAGACUUGGGAGGGGUUUUCUUAUGGUCCUAAUCUCCAUUUUCUACCAGCUUAGUCUUUAUUUAGUCAUCUUUUGCAUGCUUUGGAUUCUUGAUUCAGUUUAUUGGCAUAGGUAGUUGCUGUGCCAUUUCUUUGUAUCUUACUUGUCCAUGCUUAUUGUCAAUGGCUUUGCUCACAUCUUGUAUCUUUUCUGUUAACAAUGAGACAAAUCCCCCCUUGAAAUCCUCUGCCCUGGUACUGAUAUCAGUCUUUCUUGGAGCUACUGUUUAGGGUUGAGUCUUGCUUUAUUCUCUGUAUCCAGCCAGCUCAAAGCAUGGGGAGAAGAUAGGAUCAGGAAGCUCAGUCUCCUUUGUUGGAGCAUCUGGGCUUUGCUUUUCUUCAAUUUUAUUAAAUGUCAAAUAUCAUUUGACCUGGCUUCAAGUAUAUUCUGUCCCUAAGGGGAUGUUUGCAGGUUUAUAAUUCUUCUUGCUUUUCCUAAGAUCCUGUGGUGGGUGUUACAGAGACUUUAAAACUAUUUAAAACAUUUUCUCCUCACUUCUCUUCACUUUUCUCUGAAUUGGCUGUUAUUGGUGAGACUUUUCAGUUUUCUGAUGACUUGUGCUUUCCUAUUUAAUUUGGUGUCUCUGUACUGGGUGCAAAGACAGAGUGGAUAGGAAUAGUACUAAGCCACACCUCAGUAAAUCUUGUUUAUUUGCUUGACUAUCGCUUUUCAUACUUUAUUAUGUGAACUUGUAUCCAUGUUUCUGCUGUUGUUUGAUUGAUUUUAUGAAUUUAUUUUGAAUUUUUUGCUUUUUGUAUUGAUUUAACUAGUGGUUUAGGGAAGAAAGAUUCGUGAUCCUUCUUUACCUUCAUUUAUUUGCCUUUCUCUAAGUUACUAAAAAAUGAAUAUAAAUAUUCUGGGAGGUAAAUCUCACAUUAAAUGCCAGUUUUUAAUUGAAGCAUGUCAAAUCUGGACUGAAAAGGAUAACCAUAUAGUUUCAAUCAGAAAUUAAAGGGCUUUUUGGUUUCAUAAGUUUAUAAAUUCCUUUAUAAAAUACAUUAGUUGACAAACAGCAUUCUUCUUUUUUUACCAUUCCAGAUUUUCCUUUUUCCUUAUUAUUUUGGUUCAGAUGUGCGACACUAUUUUCCCUGUGGCCCUCACUUAUACUAAUAACAGUAAUAUUUUCACUGAAAACCCAUAACUUUUUAUAUAUGAAAGCAAGCACACCCAGAGCAGCCUGGGCCCCCCACCAGAGAUUUUCUUAAUAUCCAGCAGUAUUACACAAGCACACUCACACCCUAAACCCAGGGCUGGCUUUCUUUCCAUUGGGGAGUUGACUUUGGAUGAGCACACAGUUUUUGAAGAGGUUCACCUGAAGCUCUGAGGAAGAAAUGAUGACACAUUAGCUGAGUCAACCCAACAUUCAGUGAGGUGACAGAUGCUACUGUGUGAUGAAACCUCACUCUAGAAAAUUCACUGAUUCUGUACAAGGUCUUUGUACUCUGUUUAGCAUCAAUGUGCAGAAAAAUUCCAUCUUCAUUUCGCUACCCAGGAAGCAGUCUAGGAGAACUCCUUAGGACAUCUGGCUUCACACAUACCCAGCUACGCAUUUUGACCCUUCUGCAAAUGUGAAUGUGUUUCCAUCCCUGUGAAUGCUGCAUUGUUGUGAACAGCAGCCCUUCUAACUUGUUUUCUGUCAGCUCUAGGACACAUCCGCUUCCUUUUUCUAAACUCUAUGAAAUAACAAUUGUGCCAAGGAGCUGGGAGAAUAAAAGACAGAAAAUAACUACAUUUAAUAAUCUAUUUCUAUUUCUUUUAAUUCAGAUUGUUAUGGCUCUCAGAGAGCCAUUUCAGAAGUAGCUAGGGUAAGCAUAGGUGUGUGUGUGUGUGUGUGUGUGUGUGUGUGUGUGUGUAUACUUACACAUUGCCGAUCAACUUCCUGAUGAAUCGAGACACUGGAGACAGUAAACCAGGUUGAUUGAAAGCCCAGCUCAGGAUCAGGAAAUCUGGUUUUCAGACUUGAUCCCAUUACUUGCUAGCUUCAUGAUAUUGGGCAAAUUGCUUUCUUACUAUCUCUUUACCUCAGAUUCAGUGGAUGAAAUAUGUGUAAAAGUCGUGUUUAAGAAAAAUUGGUGAUCAAACAACAUUACAUAUGAAAUAUUACGUUUAGGAAAAUGUAUCUCCAUCUCCACAGUGCCUAAUUCACAGUAAGUUCUCAAAAAGCUGGUGAAACCAGUAGGUGGUACUUGCUCCAUACAACAAAUUUUAAUCAACUCUUAAAGCUGUUUCCAUUUAAAAACUAUGAUUUCUUAUGGGCUACUUUGAGGAUCAUGGUUAAUGUAUAGUUCAUGCCAUUUAUUAUCCCUUCCACAAGUGUAUAAAUAACACUAUGGUCACUUCCUUAAUGAGCUCAACUUAUCAGUAUAAUUUAUUUACUAAGGCACCUUGUUAAUUUUUGGACCUGAUGGACUGAAAAAAUUUGGAAAAUAUAAGAAAAUGUGCAUUAUGAAAAAGGAUCAGUAAUGAUAUACUUCAUAACAUUUACUUCUUUAAUAGUUAAAAAUGAUUCAUUUGUUUCAAACUCAUUCUGAGUUAUGGUUUAAGUAUUUGUGGACCUUAUAUUCCCACAGCAAUUUUAUGUUUGUCUAAGUUGCAGGUAGUUAACUGAACCAAGUAAUUAAAGAGAGGAAAGUACUUAUUCCUAAAGAAGACAUAAAAAGAAUCUACCUGAUAUCAGCAGAUGUAGCCAUUCUGUCCAUGAAAUAAAGCAAGGUAGCAAUGGCUUUUUGAGUCACUGGGGUCUCUGUUCAUAGGUCGAUCAUCAAGUAAUAUAUUAAGCUGUAAAACCCAAUAGAUUUUUAGUUAGCAAAUAAGCCAGAUAACCCUUGUGAAGACAGCUAGAUUAUAAUGAGCUACAAUGGCAGUCUUAUUGCUUUAGGGUGAUUUUUAAAUUACAGAAAAGAAAUUGAGUGCACACACAAGUGAAAAUCGGCAUAUUAAAAAAUUGGUAAAGGGAAUAUGGAUGAGUAAUAAUAACCACUAGUGAAUUUUAUAUGUUACACGUGUCACCUGUUCUUUAAUAGCUGCUCCAUGAAGCAGUUGAGGCAAGUGCUUAAUUUGUCUCUUUCAGGUUCAGUACCUGAGGCUCAGGGCAAUGUGGUAGCUUUACAUUGUCUCCCGUGCAUUUGCAGCAGAGGCAAGGUACAAACCCAGUCAAUCUGUCCCUGUGUCACAGGACAGUGAUCCAAAAUAAUGUGAAAUCCUCUCUUCAAAUUAAGGUUGUAACCACAUUAAAGGAAAUGGUGUGGACAGAGUGAAAGUGAAGGGGUGAAAAUACGGAAAGCAUAAGAAAAGGAGAGAUAAAGGCAAGACAUAGUCAGGGAAGGCUAGAGAUUGGGGCUGACACACUAGGAAUGGGACUCACAGGUAAUAGGGCACAUGUUCUUGUCUCCUAGUAAAUAUUGGUAUGGGGAUGUGUAGUAUUUUAAGAGAGUUAUUUUUUCUUCUUUUUCUUGUUCCUUGAUAAUAAAUAGCCUGAUUGUUUUCCAUUCUUCAAAAUUUUUAGUUGUUUUCGAUCCUUUUGUCCUUAUAUGUUCCUUUUUUAAAAUUCAGAUGAAUGUGUGCUUACCUAUGGAACAUAGUUUUAUGUGUUUUAAAUGAGUUUCAGAAAUGCACCCUGGAAUUCUCUUUACUGAGAUUUCCCUCUUUUGUUUAGUUGCUUAUUAUUGUGAUUAAGCGAUUUCUAAGAAUCAGAGAUAGGAAAAGUUUACUGUCAAUCCAUUCCCCAUCAACUGAAUUCUUAAAGUAAAUUUUUCAGUAUAGAUGUCAAUCCAGCCUUAGUUGGCCCUCUAUUAGAACAAUCAAGAUACUGAGAUUUUUGUAUAGUCGACUUAUAUGUUUAACACCAACUUGUAAUAGGGUUUUUGUAAACAGUUUUAAUUUUCUCUGUCUUGAUUUUUCCAUUUCUUAAAAUCAAGUGAUGUCAAAUUUGCUCCUGCUAACUUCACAAGGUAUUCUAAAACAUAAUUUUGAAAAUUAAUAAUUCAACAAGGCAGGCUCUUUCUAUUUGCACAAUAUGAAUUAGCUCUAUACUCAUUGAAUUAGAACUCAGACAUCUAAUAGAGUUUGAAUACCUGUCGUGCUGGAAUUCCUUAGAACCAAGCCUCACUGUGGGAUUUAGAAUUUUACCUAUUCCCAAACCUAAACUGAUUGCUCUUUUUUGGGAGCAGUCCCUUCAUUGGAGAAUAAAAACAUGCAUUGGGGCACUAUCUUGUUUCACCUUGUGGGAAACAGGAGAGAAAAACAAUACCUUGAAACUGAAAGCUUAGAUUCUAGAACACAGUGAUUUACAAUGUUGGUGACCUAAAAGAAUACAGAUCUAGUUCCAACUCUUCCUCUAUGCAUGUGUGACUUUCAAUAGGUUGUCACUUUUCUGUGGGCCCCCACUUUCCUAAUCUCUAAGUAAGGAUGUGAGUAGUUAGGUUGUUUCAAAAUGUUUAGUACAAGAAUCUUUUGGAUUUUUUCCCAAAUAUUAUUAUUAUAUAGAAUUUUAACUAGAUCAAAUAAAGCGGUCCUGAUUGUUUCUAUAAUGGUGGAGAUAGGAACUUCAUCAUCCUAAACCUACUGAAUUUAAACAUGUAUCACAAUUUGAAAGUCACAGGGGUGAAUAAUUUUAAGGACCCUUCCAUCUGUAAAUGUAUGGAGAUGUGUCUUUUAACAAGAGCAAUGUAAUUUAUUUACAUUCAGUUUGGAGAAUCUCUGCUUGCUCAAAAUUGUGAGUUACUACCUACCACAAAGAAAGAAAAAAAAAGAAUGAAGAAAAGAUAGAGAAGAAGGAAGGAAGGAAGAAAAUCUGCUGAGUCCAGUGUAUAAAGUGUGUAGCUUGGUGUUAGGGCUUCUGAUCAGGGGUGAACACUUGGCUCUUUGGUAAGAAUGAAGGAAAAAUAAUAACACCUAGCAAUUUUGAUAGCUUUCAAAAGCCAACUUAGUAAAACUUUAUGUACAAGUUAGAUGGCUUGUACAACUUAAUCAAUGUUGAAAAGGUAUUAAAGCCUUUUUAUUGCAGUGGUAUUUAUGUCUAUGUUUGAAUUUAUGAUAAUUUAUAUAAGGUAUAUUUGCUUAAACAUUUUAUUUAUUUAAUUUGUACUAUUUGUCCAUACUUCAGCUGAAUCAUAAGCCAGCUUGAUAAAAAGGCUUUGUCUCCUUCAAAUAUAAAUAGUUAUUUAUCCGAACAAAGCACAAAAGCAAAAAAAAAAAGAGCAACUUUGCCAAGGCUCACCUUUUAUUUAGAAGGUGGAGUGAAGCUUUUAUUUCUUAGAAGAAAAGAAUUCAUAAUGAAGUGUCUAACACGCAGGCAAGUCAAGGAGCUGCACGGUAUUCCAACUUUAUAGAUCAUUUCUUAUGAAAUUUUGUGAAUUCAUAGGACAUUUGACACAUUUCAUAAGCAUAAUAUACAUUUAAAAAAUCAAUAGGAUUAAGAUGACUUGAUACUCCUGCCCUAAUUUAUUUGGUUUUCUUUUCUUUUUUAUCUUUGUUACUUGUGCUAGGGAUUGAACCCAGGCCUGGCACAUUCUAAGAAUAAGGUCUGCCACUGAGCCACACCCCCAAAAACCACAUCCCCUGAUUUGGAAUCUCAGAUUAAACUUACCUCACACUCCAUCAGCUAAAAAACAUUAGAAAACUGAGGGAUGAUUAAAAAUCUGUGCUGAUCCUCUUUGUUCUGCUUGUAGUUUAUUCUGGGUAAACUUCCAGCACCAUAUGCUGAGCAUUUGUUUCUUGAAUUUAUGUGUUGACAAUGCAUGAAAUAAAAUAUUUCAGAUCCUUCAGAAAAGCUUUACAGCCUAACCUCAGAAGAGUUACCAGCCUUCAACAACCAUUCUCUGAGUAUAAGUCAGACUUCCACAGAAUCCCUUGGAAAGAGCUCACAGAUGUGGGAUCCCUGUGGAGUUGAAGAAUUAAGGUAAGUUAAUACUGCAAUUUGUAUAUAAAUAUAGUAAGUAGUAAAAUUUGGACAAGCCCCAACUUGUUAUCUUCAUAAAUAAAAAGUGCCUUCAUGUGUGUAAUUUAUAUGACCAUUCUUAGUAAAAUAUUUGCUUCCUUUGCUGAGCUCUUAUCAGGAUUUAGUAAAAGGCUUAUAAAGUUGUUACUUUCAUGUCAAAAGAUAGUUCUCUGCUGAACAAUGUGUAUCAUAAAAUUGGAGAGACAUCUGGAAUUUAGUAAUCCUUCAGCAUUUCAAUUUCUUAUAUUGAAAAAAAAAUUGUUCUACCCAAGUUAAUUAACUCCAUAAAUUUCAAUAUUUUGCAUCAGUAGAAUCUUACCUAAUGGAAGUAAAGUUUUUAGAAUAGAACAUUGUUAAGUUUCUUUCUUGAAAUGUAUUCUAAAUUAUUAAUGAUAGGAUGUUUUUAUUUGUAUCCUUUCUUUAUUUCCUCAUAUAAGGAAAUAAAAGUGAUGGUGAUAAGUUUAUAAGGACUAUAGUUUACACUAACAAAUUCUUCAUAAAAGAAGUUUAUCUUAUCAAUCUAUAAUUGAUAUAUUGGAAUUUUUGGAAAUGGAGCAUUGUUCCAUUUAGAAAGACUAAGAUAAGUACAAAAUAAAAGUCCCUUUGAAUUGAAAACUCCUUUGAUUGGUUUGAAGUUCAAAAUUGUAGUAAAGGGUUAUCGAAGUUGUUUACUCUUUCUCAAGGAGGAAAUCAAGAACCUUGGUUCUUGGAUUUUUGCAUUUUUUUACACUCUUGCAUUAAAAUAAAAGGAUCAAUUUGAGGUUACUAUUUUUCAUUAAAAAGAUCGUUAAAGCAAAGUAAACCUAUGUGUACACCCAUCAUCAUUUCAUAAAAGAAACGGCAUUUAAUACUAACAAUACAAGGGGACCAUAAAAACACAGUUCUUUGAAUCAAGAAUGUUAUGAAAAAGUCUUUACCUUUUCUUUAUAUUCUCUCUUCUUUGAUAAGUGAACAUUUUGUCACAGUUGCUCCUGUACUGGUUCACUGGCCAGAGUUUAUGAUCUGUUUAGCCUGUGUUGGACGUGAAAAUAAUAAUAAUGAUAAUAAAAACCGUUGUAUCCAUCACAGGGGGAAGUAUUUCCUAUUUGGAGGCAUAUAUAAGGAGAAAAUCUAGAUAACUUUGGAACAAAAUAUAUGCAAUAUGCUGAUCCUAAUCCUAAUAUAUCUAUGUGCUAAAGCUUCUGUCAGUCUCUGCCCCUCCCACAAUAAAAUGCAACCAAAUAAACUAACAUAUAAUUGCUUUCAUUAAUUUUGGUUUCGGCAUGUCUUGACUGGCUAUCCACAUAGUCCUAAUUUACUGUACACAAAAGAGGUGAUUUAUCUGGCAGUCUAUUCAUUGGAAUUCUAUUAAGCAGCCAAUGUAAUGAUGAAUGUUCUUAAUGAUGGCCCUGAGGCUCUGCAAGUUUCUGAGGUGCUUUCUGAAUCAUCAAUGAAAGACAACCAGAGACCAUAAAAUUAUCUCUCCUUGGUUCCAUUGUGGUUUUAUUUCUUGGGAGAGGGAGACUGAUGAGAAUUUCUCAUUAAAGCAAGGCUUGCUAAAUUGGGCACAUUGAAAAUUAUGGCCCCAAUCUGAUGCAAUCCCCUCAUAUCUGCUUGCUUUCAAUGACUUCAACACAUGUAGUAUUGAUCAGAAGAUAAAUGAAAGUUGAAACUAGGUUCUGUAUAUUGUGUAUUGAUUUUUUAAUGUAUUUCCAGCUCUUAUGGAAAAGAUACUGAAAUGCAAUCUUUGCUGCCACUUUCUGAGAGCAGUACAGAUGAGGAGGAAGAUUUCCUUGACAAGCAACAUGUCAUCACACUACCGUGGUCAAAGAGUAUUUAAUGGUCAUUUGUUCAUUACUUUUCCAUUUGUUACCCAGAAUAAAGCACACAACUAAAAAAAAAAAAAAAAAAGCAACUAAGUGAUUACCUGAUUACCUGUCCUGGUGCUGAAGAUUUUGAUUAUUAAUGUCUUUGAUGUUUCAAGGAUUGUAAACUAAUAAAAUUUAGUGAAGUUUUAACUUUAAAAUCUUUUACUCCCAAAUGAUAUAUGUCAAAUACCAAUCUCUAUUGCAGAUUAUAUUAGUAAAAUUUGGUAAAUUUUAAGAAAUAAUAGUGAUAAUUAUGUCUAUAAAAUUUACCAUAUGACAGAUAGGUUUAUAUUUAAGGUAAUAUUUAAAUAUUUUUAUUAUAUUUAAAGUAAUAUUUAAAUAUUCAGUUAAAUUUUAAGUAAUUGUCAUUAAAAAUAGAGUACAUUUGAUAAUCAUGUCAUAGUAGUCCAGGUCAUCAAUUGAGCCUGUAAUUGCAGUGCCUUUUUUCCCCCUUGAGUAUUUUUGACAUUUAUAGAAGUCUGGUAGCUUCAAAAAUUGAUGCUAGGAGGGAAAAAAGUUUAAAAAAAUAGAGAUAAAAAAAGACACAAAAUAAAGCUGACAUAUUUGUCAUACUUUUUUUUUUCCUAGUAAAUCACUGAAAACACCCUAAAGCAUCUUAUUUGGGUAAGGCCAAUGUUAUGGUUAGUUUCAUAUAUUAACUGGGCUAGUUUAUGGUACUAAACUAGCCCAGUUAAUAUAUGGGAUAUAUUAUUUUUUAAUUUUUUUUUGUUCAAACAUUAUCGUAGAUGUUUCUGUAAAGAUUUUUUUUGGAUGAGAUUAACAUAUAAGUAGACAUUGAUUAAAACUGAUUAUUCUCCACAAUGUGGAUGAGCUUUAUUCAAACAUUGUAUGAAUAUGUGAAACACCUGAGAUACUCUGAAGUUUAGGGAAUUCUGCCUUCACUUUGCCUUUGGGCAAAGAGAUGCAACAACAUUUCUCCUCUGGAUCUUUAGCCUGACAUCCUGCCUUACAAAUUUUGGACUUGCUAGUGCCUUAAUUGUGUGAGCCAAUUUCUUAGAAUGGAUCUCUCUUUCUCCAUAAUACCCCUUACCCACACAAAUUCACUGCAGGUUCUUUGUGUGGAGAAUGCUAAUCUAGGCAGCUUGAAGGACCUCCAGAAGUCAGGUUUUAUAUAACUGUAAGCAAAAUAUCCAACCAUAAAAAUUUAGAGGAGGAAAAGCUUAUUCAGGACUCAUGGUGUCAGAAGUCUCAGUUCAUACAUGGCCAGCUUCAUUGCUCUGGGUCCAAGCUGAGGCAGCACAUCACUACAGAAGGGUCCAGCAGAGGAAAGCAGCUCAGUUCAUGGCAGGUUCAAGAAGCAGAGAGGGGAGGGAGAAGUGGGUACAGGGCAGAUGCAGUCUUCUAGGGCAUGUCCUUAGUGACCCACCUCCUCCAGCCAGACCUCAUCUGCCUACAGUUACCUACCAGUCAGUCAGUUCAUACUGGAACAACCUGAUUAGAUUACAGCACUCCCAAUCCAAUCAUUUCACUUCUGAAUAUAACUGCAUUAAUGUAGGAGUUUGGGGGUAUACCGCCUAUGCAAAGCAUAACAUAGUCAAAGGAAAUUAACCCAUCGGAAUCGUUUUAUUGGUCAUGCUGAGUAGCAGAGGGUGGGGUUCAGGUUUCACUUAAGGAAGAACAAAAAAGCACAAGAGAAUUCAUGUGGGAUAAUUUUGUGGUUGUAACCUUGGGCCAUUUUAAGAUAGUUUUCCCUUGUGAAAUUUGUUGACAUCAGAAAAAAUAUUCUGAAGGCUGGCUGUGUACUUUCACCAAAACAGCCAUGUCUCAGGGUUCAAACUCUUUUUGUCAUCUAUGUGUUUCUGAGCAGUAACCCAUUAUACAAGACAGAUGACCGUUCAUGAAAAUUUAUCUUUGAUACUUUUCUCGUGGCAUCAAUAAAUUGCACUGGAACCUGAACCUAUCACUUACUGACAGGUUAGACAAUGAUGAGACUUACAGCUGUUUCUAUGUCUUUUACUAUAACAGUCCCCUUUAUUGAACAUGAUAUAAGUGGAUAAUAAGCAAAAGCAAGCUAGUCAUAUUGUUAGAAUAAAAUGUUGCAAAAAACAAGUGUCUUCAGAAAGACUGUGACUCCUAAAGUAACUUUUACUUUCCUCAUGACACUUCCUCUAUCACAAUCCCCUAGACACAACAGUGAGUCACUCUUGAAUCUUCACCACCUGUAUGAAAAGCCCUCCUGGCAUCUCAUCCCGAGGCUGCUGGCUCUCUGAGUUUCAGUAUCUGUGGUUAAAGGGGGUUGAAUGUUCAUCUUUUAAUAUAGGAAAAGUGUUUUUUUUUUCCUUUUACUGUAUCUGCUCAGGUUUUAAAUUUCUUGACUUCUCGGUUGCUCUGAGACAACCUUUGUUUCUUUUCUCAAGAAGGAGCAAAUUGUUCCUUGAAAUGCCAUUUGUAAAACUCAAGUGCUUUUCUCAAUGUGAAGGAAGUGUUGUCUUAUUUUUGUUAGAGAACAAUUGGACCACUAUGAUUCCUUCUAUGUAUUCAGCCACAGCUUCUAUCUUUUAUGAACUGGCUCAGAAGAUUUUAUAUGAUGUCACUAUCUUUUACAAUAUAAGAAUGUUGAAAUGAAUAUUAAGCUGAUGAUUAAUCAGCAUUAAUGCAUCUCUGGCCAAAAUCUGAGGUAAGAAAAGUGCCAUACAGACUUUCUAAUUUAACUUCCAAUACAAUAUUGAAAUUAUACAUGAGGGUCCUCUAUGGCAGAGAAGAGAGCAGACUUCCUCUCCUUUUGUUUGAUUCCCAUAACCACACAUUUAGGAAAGUUCCUUAAUUCCAUUGCUAUUAGUCUAAUGAGGAAUUAAAAACUAAAUAAGAUUAGAGCCUUUGCCUGAAGCAGCUUUGAUGUGUUCUCUCAUUUUGGAGUUUGAGCUUAAAAUUGCUGUUAAAGGCCUACACCUAACUCUGACUAUGGAACUGAAAGAGAGAUUGAUAUUCCAGAAGAAUGCUAACCAUAUUUCUAAUACUGUAGUUAAUACAGUGGACCUGUAAAAACUAUUAUAUAACUACAUGAAUUUAUAAAUAUGUUGAUAUUUGGAAGUUUGAACCCAGAUUCUCCUAAUUUUCUAUUAGCCAUAUUAAAUUCCAUAAUUUUACAGCUAUGUAUAUCCAUACAAUGGAGACAAAUGUUAUUAUGUUGCAUUUGGUGGUUUGAGUAUAGUGUUUGAUAUCCAUUGAAGCCAUUCACGUCUACUGCACUCUAGGGGACGCAACACAGGUCAGUUUUUUCCUGAUGCCCUUAAGAUUGUUUCACAAUGUACCAGAUAUGUGAGGUUCACAGACAGCAUUCUUCAAUGAAUAAGUGUUUAAAAAUGACUUAACCUCUGUAAUAAGACACUCAGAUAUUUUAAACGCUGCACUGAUUCAGAAAAAGCAGUUCCUUCUGUCUCUGAUUCAGUUUUUGGAAAGAUUUUAAACAAUGCUCAUGUCAUCCAGGUUUUGACACUUGCUAUUUCUGAUCUUUUAGGUUUCAAAAUAUACCUUGUAAAAGAACUUUCUCUAAUCUCUAUGCAAACUGAUUUCCCUUGUCCUUUUAUUCUUUCUUUAUCACUUAUCAAUACAGUUGUGUGCUUUUCAAGAUAUUAUGACUACGUUAAAAAUUUCAGCAUAGCACUACUGUGUCCAUUUAGUUCACCACUGUGCAUAGCCCCACCCAAUGCCUAACUCAGAUUAGAAGGUGAAUGAAUUUGCAGGAUUCAAGUGAUAAGCCUUUUCAGUCCCCAACUUUGCCAAGGGAGACAAUAUCAUAUAUAUAGUGAGAGAAAUGUGGGAUCUAUCUCAGGUUGCUAUUGAUUUUGUGAGAAUAAGAUGAAGUUAGGAAUGCAAAAACACGUUGGAGCCAGAAAAGGCUGUGCCAUGCUAAUUAUUAUCACUUUUCAUGAGUUUAUGCCAUAAUUUUUGAGUAUAUGGAUGAAUUAAGGGUGGAUUGGUAUGUGAAUUUAGGGUCACAUAGACAUAAAUAAUGGACAAAGCCCACUGAACAUCAAAAAUGGGAAGUGCUCUCUCAGUGAACUGAAUAAUUAGACUGAAUGAUGCAUAAUGCCAGUGUUUACAUUAAAAGCUAGAUACUUAAAAUUGUUCUAUUGAAAUUAUUUCUGAAACAUUGAUACAUACACCCAUAACUUUCUUCUACUGUAUAUAUUAUAAGCUUUUAAAUACUAAAAUUUUUCUAACACUUUAUAAACAUUCUUUACAUCAUACUUCCAGAGAAAAGUCAAAACAUACUAUUUAUACAUUCCCAAAUCUGUUUUUAUAGGAUAUUCUGUUUCAUCAUAAUUUUUAUCCCUAGUUAUUUAUUACUAGCCACAUUUGCAUGAAAACAAUGUUUAUUUCCUUUGAGUUCAUCUGUGCCUGUAGUUUAUCCCCUACCUAAAGUCAUAAUUCUUUGUUAGUGACACCCUGAUUGUUCACUGGGUAAAUGAUUAUGAUGUUGCAAACAAGAUUAUGAUUUGAGCUGGGGAAUAACCAGCAGGCAUAGAUGAACUCUCAGGAAAUAAAGAUCCUCCUCUUUUAACACAAGUGCCUUCCAUAUUUAAGGCAAAGGAGAAGAUAUUCUCAGCAUUCUCCAUAAGAAGGUGACAGUUAUGUUUAAAAUGUGAAGAAUUAAUUGAUUGAUAAUGUUUCUUCUUCAAAUGCAUAUAGAACACAGUAACAGUAAUAGAGACAUAGUUUUGAAAGGAGUCUUUUUGCUCUUCUGCUACAAGGAAGCAAUAUGUGUAUUAUUUUCUAUCCAGAAAAAAAAUACACUUAUUCCAGAUACAAAUGUUUAUAACGAUUUCCAAAGGAGGAAUUAGUCUUCAUCCCUAUUUUACAAUUAAUUAAACCUUAUAUAGUCAACAUAAAUGUGAAAGAAAUGUUUUGCGGUAAAUUUUUAUAUAAUUUCACCUUUUUUACUUACUUGUCUGUUUUUAUAAGAUGCUAUUUUGUUGUUCACUCAAAUGAUAAUGGUGUUCCCAAAUAGAUCUGUACUUUAAAAAGAAGACCUGGAAACACAGGCAGGAGAUGAAGAUACAGGUUUUAUUUUUUAGAAGUAUUCAGGGCAUUUAUUUUCUACUCUGACUACCUAUGUCAUAGCCCUAGAAGAAUAUCUCUUAGGUUAGGCUAUUGAAUCAGGUAGGAUUUGGUUUAAUUUUAUUUAAAAACACCCAGUAAAAGUGUAAUAAAAUAAGUUUAUUUCCCUUUUAUGGAAAUGGAGUCUGGUAGGCAGUCAGGGGCUACUAAGGCAACUACCUGGAACUAUUCUGUUCCACCCUCAAGGUCACCUCACCAUCCCAGUUGGUUAGAGGUGUCUAGCCAUCAUAAUCUGAGAUCCAGCUUUUAGAAGGGAGAAAUGAAAGAACCAAUUAGGCAUCUUCCUCACUGAGGCUUCUCUUCCUGCAAGUCUUACUUAACAUUUCUGCUUGCAUAUUUCAGCCAGAACAUAGCCAUAUUUAGAUGCAAGAGAAUCAGAAAUGUGGUUGAAUAUGUGGGUACAUUGCUGCCCUGAUAAAAUUACGGUUGUGUUCAGAGGGAAGAUGAGAAGAGAGAACACAGAAGGCAACUGUGUUUUUUUUUAAUUUUUAAAAAUUCUCUAAUAUUAUCCUCAUUACUGACCUACAGUUGAUUGUUUUCUUCAUAUAUGGAUUUUGUAGCUAAUGUUUGUAAUAAGUGGUAGAAACCAAUAUUUGGAGAUUUAAAUAAGUCACAUUUGGAGGCACUACAAUACUUAAAUAAUUCAAUUUCUUACGUAAUCCGUACCUAUAGUUCAUGUUUUUAUGCCUCCACAAAGGCAUACUAUACACAAACAGAGAGCUCAUCAUUAUUCAGCUUCAAGUUUUCACCUUAGGACUUCUUGAAACACAUUCCACAUCUCUUUAAAGUUCAGACUUUGGGCUAAUGCCCAAAUCCAAUCUGCUUUGGCAAAGAUUUGCAAUGCACUGUGCUAAAAUGCUAUGAUCUGAAAUAUUGUUUCAAAUGAGUGUUCUAAUAUUAGGAGUUCAGAAAACUAUGAUAUCAUAAAUUUCACAAUUUAAAAUAAUAUGUAAAAGAAAAUCCUAUGUUGGAAUUUAGUACACUAGAGCCAAAGAUUUGAGGUGGUCCCACAGAUAAAAGUCUCACUACUUUGUUCCCAUGGAGCAAGAUUUAAAUCCUUUACAUUCAAUAUAUAUGUACAAUAAGAUUGUGUUCAAACUGAGUUCUGGGGGGGAUAGGCUAUCUUGAUUUGGAGAGGAUAAUUAAGAACAACAAGUAUGUGUUUGCUGGGAUAUAUUUUAUAUAAAGAAUUAUAAGUAAGAUUGAAGAAAGACUAUGAAUCCCAAAUUUUGAGAUCCAUGGUUAGAGUUUUUUGAAGAUCUCUGGGCCCCAAUCUCAUGGUGAUCAUCUGGGAUGUAUGUUGUCACAAGUUUUAAGAUAUGUGGCUGAAUUUAUAUCCUUCUGCUAUAAAACCAGACUCUAGAGGACCAUGGGUAGAAGAUAGUUCUUCACUGAAAUCCAUUCAAAUAUCACUAAGUGCCUAUAUCACUUCACUGACUUCAAGUUAGAUUUUUUUCUUCAAAUAUGUGUGUGUGUGUGUGUGUGUGUGUAUUACUCAAGAUAUUGAGAGUAAAAUCAAUUUAUUUUAGCAAUAAAUAAAAGUCUCUGAAAAUCUAAGAAUAAGAACUAUUAAAAAGUUGGUUUCAAGCUGGAACCUGAGUCAGUUCUCCCUUGGGGUGAUCAUAGAUGCUCACCAGCACUUUUCUUGGUCAGGUAGCUGUAUUUUUCUCAACUGACAGGCUUCUUAUACUUACUCUUGCUUUCUGCCCAUGCUCAAGGAUUUAACUUAUCUGGGUACAUUCAGUUCUCUCAUUCUACUUUAUAGCUCCUCUAAGAUAGCUACUUAAUCUGCUGAAUCAGUUUUUCAAUUCGUAAUCCAAAGGGAGAAGUUGUAUUGGUGAGGCUUGGGUGUUUUCAAACUAAGACAAUAUGGUAGUCUAAGAACCCAAAGUUGGUUAAAUCCAAAUUGUUGCCAGACCAUGGCAGAGGGAGGGGAGAAACAUGGCCUCUACAACAUAAAAAGCCGAGAAUUAUGAGUUAAGACAGUCUUGAAAAAGUGAAGUGGUUUUGAUAAGCCAUAAGUGUCUCUUAAAGGAUUUUCUGGGAAGUCAUUCAAUAUCAAAGGUGGAGGUUUUCAGGAGAGAUUUCUGAGUAACAUGAGGAUGUAAGGAGGAGGGUCAUGGGGAAACAGGUAUUAAAUGAUGGCAACGAGUCAGUCUUAUUCUGUCUGUGUCAUAAUUGUAUAGAUAGUACCUCUUGUCUCAAUGUAAUCUCAUCAGCCUAAGACGACGGCAGUGUUAAUAGAUCUGGUCAAGGCCAACUUCUCACACAGGAUUCAGGUGUCAAUUUCACUCCAUUCUCAAAGAGCCAUAGCUGCAAAUCAGUAACCUGAAGCUUCAUUUUAAUUUUGUUCUCUAUGUCCUCAUCAUAGACAUUUCUUCAUUUCCAGGACUGAUCUACUUGACAAGCUAUGAAGUGAAAUUUCACACUGAAUUGCCCUCUGGGCAGUACUCUGUGGAGGUCCCAGCAGACUUUCCCAGGUGACAUUACAAAUGUAGCAGGUGCCUUCCCUCAGCUAGUCUGGUAUGCAGGGCCAGAUGAUUCUGGGGGGAGCUCAAGCCUGUCUCACACAGAUUCCCUUUUAUUGAUUCUUGAAAUAGCCCCAUUUUCUUCUUUAUAGAGGAAGAACUAAACCCCAAGCAGAUGCUUGUGAUUAAAGUCAGAGAUAAUGAUAGUAGAACUUUUACCAAGGAUGUGUCUCCUCCUGCUAUCAGAUAAAUGCCAAGGUGAAAACAAGCCAUUUAUCUGCAAAUAAACAUUGUGCUGGGGAUAAAUGCUUUAUUUUCCAAGUUUGAAGCAAUUAUGCUUUGACAGCAUCACUCCUUUCAAGAUUUUAGGUUUAUUAUAACAUCAUUAAAAACACAUUUAGUUGGUAUUAGUAAAACACAGUUCAUUGCACUGUUAUAUAAAAGACAGUUUUGACAUAAAACUAGUAAAAAGGCAGUCUUCAACUUAAUUGUCAAUAUUUCUAAAAAUAUAUUCUAUCAUUUCAUGCUUUAAAGUAUUUGAUUCACCGAAACAACUUUGAAUGAAUGAAAUUUUAUUUUCUUGUAUGAAGAAGAACGAGAGACUAUAAUUAUACCUCAUGGCAAAUUUUUCAUUAUAUGGUAUUUAUCUGUAAUGUAGAAAAUGCCUUUAUUAUUAAAAUUAAAUCAGGAGAUGUUAUUUUACUUUAUUCUACAAUACCAGUCACAAGUGUUAUCUCAGAAGAAUAAAAGUGUUUUACAAUUUUUUGUUAAAGAAUCUCAACUGUACAAAGUUUAAAUUCAAGUUAAACAUCCUUUCUUGGAAGGACUACACUUUAGAAUAUGCCUCACAGAUUUGGGGUGAUUCAUUUAUAAAGCAAACAUAAUUCCUACUAAUGUUCAGUCUAAAAUAUCCUUCUUAGAGAAGGGACAGCAUGCAGCCAUAACUUGCACAAAAUAGCUUUUCUGAGUCCGCAUCCUCUUUAUGUUCUUCUCACAAUCUUUUUUUUUUUCUUCUCCUUUACUAGUAAAAUUCCUCAGUAAAUUACUCUGCAUGUUUUUGUUCUCUCAUCUUCUGAGUUCUCUUGGAUCCAUUCAAAUUAGGCUCUUGUUCCAACCACUUGAUUGUAAUGUUCCUGUCAACAAUGACCUCCAAAUUUCUAUGACAUCAUCAAAGGCUCUCAGCAUCAUUUGAUCUCAUUGACCUGUUAUCUUUGAAACUGUGCUUCAUAUUUCAUUAGGGCACUAUGUUCUCAUGAUUUCCUUUUCACUCACUUUAUUGCUCCCUUACAGUGUUGUCUGAAAGUUCUUAUUUCACCAGCCCUGGAAUUUUGGUAUGCUUACAGCAGAGUCUUUGCCCUUUAUAUAUAUCUAAGUUCUCUCUAGAUGCUCCUACCCAACCCCAAAUGCAUAAUUUUACCUUAAACAUCACUACUGAACUUUGGAUUUUCAAAACAAUUGAGAUUUUCAUUCUCGAAUUGGCUUCUCUUUGAGUUCCCAUUUGUUAAAUAACAAUGUUAUUCAUAUAAUUGUUCAGGCCAAGAAAUCUAGGAAUUAUCUCAUUUUCUCACAUGCAUUAGUGAGUCUUUAACUCAGUCUUAAAAUAUGCCUCCAUCACUCCCAUGUAAAUCAUUUCAUUCCUGACCCAACAUCUUUAUAAAACACCCCGAAUUAUCAACUAAACAUUAGCUCACAUUCCUCCCUACUGCUAACAAGGCUCAAGGCAAUGUAAAAAUUAUUUAUUUUUUAAUGAAAUACAUUUUUAAAAAUAAGACUAUGAAUAACAUCUAAUAAAGCUCUAUUCAGAUAUUUUAUUAAGAAAACCCUAAGUUCAUUCCUAGCACCAAAAUUUAGAUCUACUCCUUAAAUCAGUAGUAAAUUUUUUUGAAAGCUCAUUGCAGUGGGAAAUAACGUUGCAUUAUUCUUAGAAUUGAAGCUAACUUUUUUCCCAGUGGCCACCAAGGUCCUACAUGAUCAAGUCCCUACAAACUCUGGGGUCUCAUCCUCUCUAAUCUAAACUCACCCUUCUCUGAACUCAAUGGUCUAGUUUAUGUUGCUUAAAUUUAUGAUGUUUCUAAUUUUCAGGAACUUCAUAUUCACUCUUCUUUCUUUAAUAUUGUCCCCCUAGAUCCUUGCAUGGAUUCUCCUUUACAUUGUUCAGAUCUUAAAUAUUUUUCAGAGUUCUUCACAUGCCACCAUGUAUUAAGGAAUCAUUUUUCUCUGUAUUGUGUUAUUUUUUUAACCAUAUUACUUCAGAAAACAUUUCCUGUAGGAUGAGUGUCCUCCACUAGAAUAUAAUCUUUUUCUUUUACGGUACUGGGGAUGGAAUCCCAGACCUCAUGCAUGCAAGGCAAGUCCAUGACCCCUGAGCUACAUUCUCAGUGAAUAUUAAGUUCUUGAUGGGUCAGGCUUUCUUGUUCAUGAGUAUGUACCAGUGUGUGUCUGGCACAGAGAAGAUGUUUAGUAACUAUUCUAUUAAUAAAGAAAUUUUUUUUUCUUUGCAAAGAUCUGUAGAGAGAAAAGUUUACAGACAAGCUUUCCUCAGUAACUUCAUAACCUAUACUAAGCAGCUACAACAUGUUAACAUUUCUCAUGAACCUCACAACAACUCCAUAAGAAAGAUACAACUAUUAGUUCCCAUAUUACAUAUGAAGAAAUUGAGGCUGAAAAUUGUUAAAUAAUGUUCCAAUGUUACCAAGUCAGUAAGCANCAAUAAUUUUAUGAGACACUUCAUUUAUACUAAU